RNAcentral lists this ribosomal RNA (508 nucleotides) under uncultured bacterium. Its description in RNAcentral is "partial 16S ribosomal RNA". It matches the Rfam family "Bacterial small subunit ribosomal RNA", at positions 29 to 523 of the family's 1533-position model. The record is from RNAcentral.
AUUGGACGCUGGCGGCAGGCCUAACACAUGCAAGUCGAGCGGCAGCGGGAAAGUAGCUUGCUACUUUUGCCGGCGAGCGGCGGACGGGUGAGUAAUGCCUGGGGAUCUGCCCAGUCGAGGGGGAUAACUACUGGAAACGGUAGCUAAUACCGCAUACGCCCUACGGGGGAAAGCAAGGGACCUUCGGGCCUUGCGCGAUUGGAUGAACCCAGGUGGGAUUAGCUAGUUGGUGAGGUAACGGCUCACCAAGGCGACGAUCCCUAGCUGGUCUGAGAGGAUGAUCAGCCACACUGGAACUGAGACACGGUCCAGACUCCUACGGGAGGCAGCAGUGGGGAAUAUUGCACAAUGGGGGAAACCCUGGUGCAGCCAUGCCGCGUGUGUGAAGAAGGCCUUCGGGUUGUAAAGCACUUUCAGCGAGGAGGAAAGGUCAGUAGCUAAUAUCUGCUGGCUGUGACGUUACUCGCAGAAGAAGCACCGGCUAACUCCGUGCCAGCCGCCGCAGUAA